Molecule: ribosomal RNA, 899 nt
Filed under: uncultured Bacteroides sp.
Lineage: Bacteria; Pseudomonadati; Bacteroidota; Bacteroidia; Bacteroidales; Bacteroidaceae
Description: bacterial SSU rRNA
Rfam family: Bacterial small subunit ribosomal RNA
Source: RNAcentral
GUCCCAGCAGCCGCGGUAAUACGGAGGAUGCGAGCGUUAUCCGGAUUUAUUGGGUUUAAAGGGUGCGUAGGCUGUUAUAUAAGUCAGUGGUGAAAUAUUCGGGCUCAACCGGGAUACUGCCAUUGAUACUGUAUAGCUGGAAUAUGGUUGCUGUGGGUGGAAUGUGUGGUGUAGCGGUGAAAUGCAUAGAUAUCACACAGAAUAUCGAUUGCGAAGGCAACUCACAAAGCCAUUAUUGACGCUGAUGCACGAAAGUGUGGGGAUCAAACAGGAUUAGAUACCCUGGUAGUCCACACUGUAAACGAUGAUAACUAGCUGUCGGCGAUAGAUAGUCGGUGGCUAAGCGAAAGCGAUAAGUUAUCCACCUGGGGAGUACGACCGCAAGGUUGAAACUCAAAGGAAUUGACGGGGGCCCGCACAAGCGGAGGAACAUGUGGUUUAAUUCGAUGAUACGCGAGGAACCUUACCCGGGCUCGAACGGUGCAGGAAUAUGGUAGAGAUAUCAUAGCUAGCAAUAGUCUGUAUCGAGGUGCUGCAUGGUUGUCGUCAGCUCGUGCCGUGAGGUGUCGGCUUAAGUGCCAUAACGAGCGCAACCCUUGUCGUUAGUUGCCAUCAAGUAAAGUUGGGGACUCUAGCGAGACUGCCACCGUAAGGUGCGAGGAAGGGGGGGAUGACGUCAAAUCAGCACGGCCCUUACGUCCGGGGCGACACACGUGUUACAAUGGCAGGUACAGAGGGCAGCUACCCAGUGAUGGGGUGCGAAUCUCGAAAGCCUGUCUCAGUUCGGAUCGGANUCUGCAACUCGACUCCAUGAAGUUGGAUUCGCUAGUAAUCGCGCAUCAGCCAUGGNGCGGUGAAUACGUUCCCGGGNCUUGUACACACCGCCCGUCAAGCCAUGG